GGGACGAAGGUCACGAUUUCACACUGCCAAGAAAAGCCUCUAGCGAGGUGGAAGGCGCCAGUACCGUAAACCGACACAGGUAGGCGAGAUGAGAAUUCUAAGACGCGCGGGAUAACUCUCGUUAAGGAACUCGGCAAAAUGGUCCCGUAACUUCGGGAGAAGGGACGCUCCGCCUCAGGCGGAGCCGCAGUGAAUAGGCCCAAACGACUGUUUAGCAAAAACACAGGUCUCUGCUAAAUCGCAAGAUGACGUAUAGGGGCUGACGCCUGCCCGGUGCUGGAAGGUUAAGGGGAUGGGUCAGCGCAAGCGAAGCUCUGAACCGAAGCCCCAGUAAACGGCGGCCGUAACUAUAACGGUCCUAAGGUAGCGAAAUUCCUUGUCGGGUAAGUUCCGACCCGCACGAAAGGCGUAACGAUUUGGGCACUGUCUCAACGAGAGACCCGGUGAAAUCAUAGUACCUGUGAAGAUGCAGGUUACCCGCGACAGGACGGAAAGACCCCAUGGAGCUUUACUACAGCCUGAUAUUGGGGCUUUGUGCAUGAUGUACAGGAUAGGCGGGAGACGUCGAGCCCGGAGCGCCAGCUUCGGAGGAGUCACCCUUGGGAUACCGCCCUUCAUGCAUAGAGUCUCUAACUCGCAGCCGUGAUCCGGCUGGAGGACCGUGUCAGGCGGGUAGUUUGACUGGGGCGGUCGCCUCCUAAACAGUAACGGAGGCGCCCAAAGGUUCCCUCAGAAUGGUUGGAAAUCAUUCGAAGAGCGCAAAGGCAGAAGGGAGCUUGACUGCGAGACCUACAAGUCGAGCAGGGACGAAAGUCGGGCUUAGUGAUCCGGUGGUUCCGCAUGGAAGGGCCAUCGCUCAACGGAUAAAAGCUACCCUGGGGAUAACAGGCUGAUCUCCCCCAAGAGUCCACAUCGACGGGGAGGUUUGGCACCUCGAUGUCGGCUCAUCGCAUCCUGGGGCUGGAGUAGGUCCCAAGGGUUGGGCUGUUCGCCCAUUAAAGCGGUACGCGAGCUGGGUUCAGAACGUCGUGAGACAGUUCGGUCCCUAUCCGUCGUGGGCGCAGGAAAUUUGAGGAGAGCUGUCCUUAGUACGAGAGGACCGGGAUGGACGCACCGCUGGUGUACCAGUUGUUCCGCCAGGAGCAUCGCUGGGUAGCUACGUGCGGACGGGAUAAGUGCUGAAAGCAUCUAAGCAUGAAGCCCCCUCCGAGAUGAGAUUUCCCUUUGAGCAAUCAAGAAAGACCCCUCAGAGACGAUGAGGUAGAUAGGUCACGGGUGGAAGCAUGGCGACAUGCGGAGCUGAGUGAUACUAAUCGGUCGAGGCUUUGAUCU
RNAcentral lists this ribosomal RNA (1332 nucleotides) under Exiguobacterium flavidum. RNAcentral's name for it is "bacterial LSU rRNA". It matches the Rfam family "Bacterial large subunit ribosomal RNA", at positions 1582 to 2925 of the family's 2925-position model. The record is from RNAcentral. Lineage: Bacteria; Bacillati; Bacillota; Bacilli; Caryophanales.